GCAGCAGUAGGGAAUCUUCGGCAAUGGGCGAAAGCCUGACCGAGCAACGCCGCGUGAGCGAUGAAGGCCUUCGGGUUGUAAAGCUCUGUUGUUAGAGAAGAACAAGUACGAGAGUAACUGCUCGUACCUUGACGGUACCUUUCCAGAAAGCCCCGGCUAAAUA
This 163-nucleotide ribosomal RNA is filed under the name uncultured bacterium. RNAcentral describes it as "partial 16S ribosomal RNA". It matches the Rfam family "Bacterial small subunit ribosomal RNA", at positions 348 to 503 of the family's 1533-position model. The record is from RNAcentral.